This 301-nucleotide ribosomal RNA is filed under the name uncultured bacterium. RNAcentral's name for it is "partial 16S ribosomal RNA". It matches the Rfam family "Bacterial small subunit ribosomal RNA", at positions 509 to 809 of the family's 1533-position model. The record is from RNAcentral.
CAGCAGCCGCGGGAAUACGUAGGGUGCAAGCGUUAAUCGGAAUUACUGGGCGUAAAGCGUGCGUAGGCGGUUUGUUAAGUCUGUUGUGAAAUCCCCGGGCUCAACCUGGGAAUGGCAAUGGAUACUGGCAAGCUAGAGUGUGUCAGAGGAUGGUGGAAUUCCCGGUGUAGCGGUGAAAUGCGUAGAGAUCGGGAGGAACAUCAGUGGCGAAGGCGGCCAUCUGGGACAACACUGACGCUGAGGCACGAAAGCGUGGGGAGCAAACAGGAUUAGAUACCCCUGUAGUCCCUGUCUCUUAUAA